UACUACGAACAAUUCCUUCCAA
RNAcentral lists this non-coding RNA (22 nucleotides) under Arabidopsis thaliana (thale cress). Lineage: Eukaryota; Viridiplantae; Streptophyta; Magnoliopsida; Brassicales; Brassicaceae. The record is from RNAcentral.